GAUGAACGCUGGCGGCGUGCCUAAUACAUGCAAGUCAAGCGAACAGACGAGGAGCUUUCUCCUCUGACGUUAGCGGCGGACGGGUGAGUAACACGUGGAUAACCUACCUAUAAGACUGGGAUAACUUCGGGGAACCGGAGCUAAUACCGGAUAAUAUAUUGAACCGCAUGGUUCAAUAGUGAAAGACGGUUUUGCUGUCACUUAUAGAUGGAUCCGCGCCGCAUUAGCUAGUUGGUAAGGUAACGGCUUACCAAGGCAACGAUGCGUAGCCGACCUGAGAGGGUGAUCGGCCACACUGGAACUGAGACACGGUCCAGACUCCUACGGGAGGCAGCAGUAGGGAAUCUUCCGCAAAGGGCGAAAGCCUGACGGAGCAACGCCGCGUGAGUGAUGAAGGUCUUCGGAUCGUAAAACUCUGUUAUUAGGGAAGAACAAAUGUGUAAGUAACUAUGCACGUCUUGACGGUACCUAAUCAGAAAGCCACGGCUAACUACGUG
This 497-nucleotide ribosomal RNA is filed under the name uncultured bacterium. RNAcentral's name for it is "partial 16S ribosomal RNA". It matches the Rfam family "Bacterial small subunit ribosomal RNA", at positions 28 to 507 of the family's 1533-position model. The record is from RNAcentral.